This 439-nucleotide ribosomal RNA is filed under the name uncultured bacterium. Its description in RNAcentral is "partial 16S ribosomal RNA". It matches the Rfam family "Bacterial small subunit ribosomal RNA", at positions 339 to 795 of the family's 1533-position model. The record is from RNAcentral.
CUACGGGGCGCACCAGUAGGGAAUAUUGGACAAUGGGCGAAAGCCUGAUCCAGCAACACCGCGUGCACGAUGACGGCCUUCGGGUUGUAAAGUGCUUUUAGAGGAGAUGAGAAAGGACAGUAUCCUCUGAAUAAGCCUCGGCGAACUACGUGCCAGCAGCCGCGGUAAAACGUAGGAGGCAAGCGUUAUCCGGAUUUAUUGGGCGUAAAGCGCGUGCAGGCGGUCUAGCAAGUUGGAUGUGAAAGCUCCCGGCUCAACUGGGAGAGGUCGUUCAAUACUGUUAGACUAGAGAAUAGGAGAGGGAGGUGGAAUUCCGGGUGUAGUGGUGAAAUGCGUAGAUAUCCGGAGGAACACCAGUGGCGAAAGCGGCCUCCUGGACUAUUUCUGACGCUAAGACGCGAAAGCUAGGGUAGCAAACGGGAUUAAUACCCCCGUAGUC